This 665-nucleotide ribosomal RNA is filed under the name uncultured bacterium. RNAcentral describes it as "bacterial SSU rRNA". It matches the Rfam family "Bacterial small subunit ribosomal RNA", at positions 216 to 898 of the family's 1533-position model. The record is from RNAcentral.
CGCUUUGGGAGGGGCUCGCGGCCUAUCAGCUUGUUGGUGAGGUAACGGCUCACCAAGGCGACGACGGGUAGCUGGUCUGAGAGGACGAUCAGCCACACUGGGACUGAGACACGGCCCAGACUCCUACGGGAGGCAGCAGUGGGGAAUCUUGCGCAAUGGGGGAAACCCUGACGCAGCAACGCCGCGUGGAGGAUGAAGUCCUUCGGGACGUAAACUCCUUUCGAUCGGGACGAUUAUGACGGUACCGGAAGAAGAAGCCCCGGCUAACUUCGUGCCAGCAGCCGCGGUAAUACGAGGGGGGCGAGCGUUGUUCGGAAUUAUUGGGCGUAAAGGGUGCGUAGGCGGUUUGGUAAGUCUUAUGUGAAAUCUAUGGGCUCAACUCAUAGACUGCAUGAGAAACUGCCGGGCUUGAGUGUGGGAGAGGUGAGUGGAAUUUCCGGUGUAGCGGUGAAAUGCGUAGAUAUCGGAAGGAACACCUGUGCGAAAGCGGCUCACUGGACCGCAACUGACGCUGAUGCACGAAAGCUAGGGGAGCAAACAGGAUUAGAUACCCUGGUAGUCCUAGCCCUAAACCAUGAUUGCUUGGUGUGACGGGUACCCAAUCCCGCCGUGCCGUAGCUAACGCUUUAAGCAUCCCGCCUGGGGAGUACGGUCGCAAGAUUAAA